AAUGUGUACAUGAUGAUCACCAAGCAAUGCAUAGUUCAUCUGAAACUACUGAUGAGACCUAUACCUUCACAAAGUCUUUCGCUCCCAUCUGAUUACACCAU
Metarhizium majus ARSEF 297 is the source of this 101-nucleotide small nucleolar RNA. It matches the Rfam family "Small nucleolar RNA snR60/Z15/Z230/Z193/J17". From Rfam's summary of the family: The members of this family belong to the C/D class of snoRNAs which contain the C (UGAUGA) and D (CUGA) box motifs. Most of the members of the box C/D family function in directing site-specific 2'-O-methylation of substrate RNAs. The family includes the yeast snoRNA snR60 (also known as Z15) and the corresponding human guide snoRNA U80 (SNORD80). The record is from Rfam. NCBI's taxonomy places the organism in Eukaryota, Fungi, Ascomycota, Sordariomycetes, Hypocreales, Clavicipitaceae.